UACGUAGGGGGCAAGCGUUGUCCGGAUUUAUUGGGCGUAAAGAGCUCGUAGGUGGUUCGGUAAGUCGGAUGUGAAAUCUCCAGGCUCUACCUGGAGGGGUCAUUCGAUACUGCCGUGACUAGAGGUCGGUAGGGGAGUGUGGAAUUCCUGGUGGAGCGGUGAAAUGCGCAGAUAUCAGGAGGAACACCCGUAGCGAAGGCGGCACUCUGGGCCGAUACUGACACUGAGGAGCGAAAGCAUGGGGAGCGAACAGG
Molecule: ribosomal RNA, 254 nt
Filed under: uncultured bacterium
Lineage: Bacteria
Description: partial 16S ribosomal RNA
Rfam family: Bacterial small subunit ribosomal RNA
Source: RNAcentral